AGCAGGGUAGAGGAAUUGGUCAACUCAUCAGGCUCAUGACCUGAAGACUGCAGGUUCGAAUCUUGUCCCCCCCU
Molecule: transfer RNA, 74 nt
Filed under: Triticum aestivum (bread wheat)
Lineage: Eukaryota; Viridiplantae; Streptophyta; Magnoliopsida; Poales; Poaceae
Rfam family: tRNA
About the family: Transfer RNA (tRNA) molecules are approximately 80 nucleotides in length.
Source: Rfam by way of RNAcentral